RNAcentral lists this ribosomal RNA (699 nucleotides) under uncultured archaeon. Its description in RNAcentral is "bacterial SSU rRNA". It matches the Rfam family "Archaeal small subunit ribosomal RNA", at positions 4 to 684 of the family's 1478-position model. The record is from RNAcentral.
CUGGUUGAUCCUGCCGGCGGCCACCGCUAUUGGAAUUCGAUUAAGACAUGCGAGUCGAGAGUCGCAAGGACUCUGCGGACCGCUCAGUAACACGCGGAUAACAUGCCCUUGGGUGGGGGAUAACCUCGGAAAACUGAGAAUAAUACCCCAUAGAUCUCCAAAGCUGGAAUGGUUCAAGAUCCAAAACUCCGGUGCCCAAGGAUUGGUCUGCGGCGUAUCAGGGUGUAGUGGGUGGAACGUACCCCCUAGCCUAUGACGCGUAAGGGCCUUGAGAGAGGGAGCCCUGAGAUGGACUCUGAGACAUGAGUCCAGGGCCUACGGGGCGCAGCAGUCGCGAAAACUUCACAGUGGGGGAAACCCCGAUGAGGGAAUUCCAAGGGGCAGCACAUGUGGGGUGGGCUGUUCUUUGGGCUAAAAAACCAGAGAAGUAAGGGGCGGNGUAAGACGGGUGGCANGCCGCCGCGGUAAUACCCGCGGGCCCAGGGGUGGGCNGAUAUUAUUGAGCCUAAAACGUCCGUAGCCGGUCUUGGAAAUGCCUUGGGUAAAUCGGACCAGCUUAACUGGUUCGAAGUCCCGGGGAGACUGCAAGACUUGGGAUUUCGGAGAAAGUCAGAGGGACUUCUUUGGGGGGUAGGGGGGAAAAAUUCUGUAAAUCCCUAGAGGGACCCCCCCGUUGGGCCAAAAGGCGUCCUGACUAGA